UUGAAAGGGAAACGAUUGAAGUCAGUCGUACCAGCGGGAAACAACCUUUCGAGUGGGGGUUUUGGAGUUUUGAAGAGUGUCAAAACCUUUGAGAUUUCAAAAUUUUCGCUCCUUUGGUGUACUUUCUCGUGGGUAGGUUAACAUCGAUUUCGAUCAUCAUAAAAGGAUUGGAGGAAUGUAGCUUCGAUCUUGUAUUGAAGUGUUAUAGCCUUUGGUAAAUGUGAUGAUUGGGAUCGAGGAUUGCAACGAAUACCCUUUUGGGCUAUCCGCCUGAUCUCUGAUACGUGGCCUUGGCAUCGAAAGCUUGCUUAUGGUAUCAAGGUAUUACGGUCAAAAGGUUAGAACGGAUUACAUUCGUUAAGGAUGUUGACGUA
Molecule: ribosomal RNA, 374 nt
Filed under: uncultured Glomeromycotina
Lineage: Eukaryota; Fungi; Glomeromycota
Description: LSU rRNA
Source: RNAcentral